UGUAGUCUGCAACUCGACUACAUGAAGCUGGAANCGCUAGUAAUCGCGGAUCAGAAUGCCGCGGUGAAUACGGUUCCCGGGUCUUGUACACACCGCCCGUCACACCAUGGGAGUCAGUAACGCCCGAAGCCGGUGACCCAACCUAUUCUGGAGGGAGCCGUCGAAGGCGGGACGGAUGACUGGGGUGAAGUCGUAACAAGGUAUC
Molecule: ribosomal RNA, 205 nt
Filed under: uncultured bacterium
Lineage: Bacteria
Description: partial 16S ribosomal RNA
Rfam family: Bacterial small subunit ribosomal RNA
Source: RNAcentral